Pogona vitticeps (central bearded dragon) is the source of this 490-nucleotide non-coding RNA. NCBI's taxonomy places the organism in Eukaryota, Metazoa, Chordata, Lepidosauria, Squamata, Agamidae. The record is from RefSeq and is a predicted model, not a curated record.
AACACAGUUGUAUUCCUGGCAUUAUCAGAACUGCAUGGGAAGAUAGCAACGGGAAGUAGCUCCUGCACCAGUGAUGAUAAGAACCAACCGAACUUUAUGGGAAGGGAACAGAAUCUGUAGCGUUGGGAGGAUCUAUGGCAUACCUAAAUAUGACCACAGAAUGCACCAGUUGUGACUGCAAAGGAGUGACAUUGUCAAAGUUUUCCAUUGUUACAUCAGGGGAACUACCACCAGCAGAAAGGAAAACCCAGAGCCUUCUGUGGCCUCUCAGCUAUUGUCAAAGGGAACACAAUGACUUUCUAGGGUUUAUAAGCUGGGAGCUUUAUCUGGUGCACUCUCCAUUCUUGCCUGAUGGUUGGUCAUGAGCCUUUCUGGUGGAUAAUGCCUCGUUUUCAUUCUGGAAGCAAACGAUGGGGAAAAGAGAGCAUCUUUCUAUCUCCUGUCAAGGUGUCAUCCAGCAAACACAUGCACGCCGCAUACCAAUAGAUUG